UUUUGUGUUUCUCAAAUCAUUGUUGUCCCCAUCAAUAUUAGUACUGUUUGCAGUCACGCAAAAUUGGUAAAUUUCAGACUCUUGUUACAACGAUGGUUGUAACAAGUUGCUAAAGGAUGCUCCAAUGAGCCGAACAAAAAUGAGCCAAAGAGUUUCCACAGGUUUCCUUUUAAACGCCCAGAUAUUUUGGAACUUUGGAUUACUGCUGUAGGAAGGGAAAAUUGGUAUCCCUCAAAGUAUAGUAGAAUAUGUGAAGAUUACCUUCAUAAUCCAAGUUAUACAAAAAAAAUAUUGAAACUUGAUGCUGUACCAAGUGUAUUCAAUAAUAUCCCAAGACAUUCAAGGAUCAUGGAAUACUUACAGUUCCAUCACUCUUCAUAUACAACUCACUGUGUUAUGUGCAUCAGAACUGGAAGAACUUUCCGACCAAUUCUAUAAAUCAUGCAUAUGAAACAAGAAAUAAAGACUCCUUGCAGAUUCCAGUGCACCAUCUGAAGCGCAUACACCAGGGCAUGGACUUCUGCGGCCCCAAACUAUAUAAUAAAUUUCCUUCUGAGUUUCAUGACAAGUCCUAGAUGAACUUUAGGAGAGAAGUGAAAAGGUUGCUUUUAAAUGAAACUAUAUAUUCUAUAGAAGUUCUUAUCGAGAAAGAAUAUGUGAUGAGAUUUGUUUUUUAUUUUUAUUGUGUUUGUAUGCAUGUUGUUACCACUGUGAUAUUUUAUAUUUGUUUAUUACUGUCGGCACCAUUUGUAAUAUUAAUUGCAAACGAAGAUCCCUUUAACCUAAUCUAAUCCGAUGAGAAGCAGAGCACAUGUAAGUUUUCGAGUGAAUUUAAAUUAUUUGAAAUCAAUAAUUUUCUUUUUCAUUGUAGACUAUUACUGAAGAUAUAUGUAAACUAUUUUAUAUAUUGUAUAUAAUAAAAAUAUAGAAAGAA
This is a long non-coding RNA of Coccinella septempunctata (seven-spotted ladybird), 934 nucleotides long. RefSeq lists it as uncharacterized. The transcript is spliced from 2 exons. Lineage: Eukaryota; Metazoa; Arthropoda; Insecta; Coleoptera; Coccinellidae. The record is from RefSeq and is a predicted model, not a curated record.